AGGACCGGGUGUGUGGCUGGCUGAGGGAGCCGGAAUAGAAGAAGGAGGGCGUAGCAAGGAGGAAAGAAAAAGGGGUAGAGAUUAGGGAGCGCCCUGCGCUGGUACGUGCGUGACGAAACCUGGUGGUGGAGGAGGAGGGGUAGGCGGGUGGGCCAAAACGACCUUGGUCGCUCUUAAAAACGAUGGUGGCUGGCUCCGUCCUCGACCAUGGUUGUGUACAAAGACGAUGUUGGCCACUUCGGGUUCGACCUUGGUCAUGUCGAAAAACGAUGUUGGCCGCCCUGGGACUCGACCCUGGUCGUUCACAAAAACGAUGUAGCUGACCCCUCAAAGAUGCCGGCGCUGCCAAUAGAAAUCUCGAUGACGUACCUAGGCAUGUACCAGGAAUGAGUGAGGAUGCCUUAGGUCCCUCGGCGACCAAUAACCCACGUUGGUUACCCUCUACCAUCGUGCCCAAUAUAAGUUGGCUAAACCUACUGCCUGCGAAUUUUCCUAUCCUCAAAUCCAGAGAUCAGGACAAUGGUAGUAGCCAACAUUAGAACUCCAGAAAAUACCGAAACAGUAGGGCAAGGAAAAACGCUCGACAUUAUGAAACCUAUGAUAAACAAAAAGCUCUGAAAAUUAUUAUACCUACGUACGUAGUAAGUCUACGUCUCCGGCCCCCGUGCGGAAGAAAAGGUUUU
RNAcentral lists this ribosomal RNA (683 nucleotides) under Triticum aestivum (bread wheat). Its description in RNAcentral is "partial small subunit ribosomal RNA". The record is from RNAcentral. Lineage: Eukaryota; Viridiplantae; Streptophyta; Magnoliopsida; Poales; Poaceae.